AGUGAACGCUGGCGGUAGGCCUAACACAUGCAAGUCGAACGGCAGCACAGUAAGAGCUUGCUCUUACGGGUGGCGAGUGGCGGACGGGUGAGGAAUACAUCGGAAUCUACUUUUUCGUGGGGGAUAACGUAGGGAAACUUACGCUAAUACCGCAUACGACCUACGGGUGAAAGCAGGGGAUCUUCGGACCUUGCGCGAUUGAAUGAGCCGAUGUCGGAUUAGCUAGUUGGCGGGGUAAAGGCCCACCAAGGCGACGAUCCGUAGCUGGUCUGAGAGGAUGAUCAGCCACACUAGAACUGAGACACGGUCCAGACUCCUACGGGAGGCAGCAGUGGGGAAUGUUAGACAAUGGGCGCAAGCCUGAUCCAGCCAUACCGCGUGGGUGAAGAAGGCCUUCGGGUUGUAAAGCCCUUUUGUUGGGAAAGAAAAGCAGCAGGUUAAUACCCCGCUGUUCUGACGGUACCCAAAAAAUAAGCACCGGCUAACUUCGUG
RNAcentral lists this ribosomal RNA (492 nucleotides) under uncultured bacterium. RNAcentral describes it as "partial 16S ribosomal RNA". It matches the Rfam family "Bacterial small subunit ribosomal RNA", at positions 29 to 507 of the family's 1533-position model. The record is from RNAcentral.